This 406-nucleotide ribosomal RNA is filed under the name uncultured bacterium. Its description in RNAcentral is "partial 16S ribosomal RNA". It matches the Rfam family "Bacterial small subunit ribosomal RNA", at positions 29 to 526 of the family's 1533-position model. The record is from RNAcentral.
AUUGAACGCUGGCGGCAGGCUUAACACAUGCCAUUCGAGCGAGCGGCGGACGGGUGAGUAAUGUCUGGGACACUCCCUGAUGGAGGGGGAUAACUACUGGAAACGGUAUCUAAUACCGCAUACCAUCAGCUGUGCCCAGAUGGGAUUAGCUAGUAGGUGGGGUAAUGGCUCACCUAGGCGACGAUCCCUAUCUGGUCUGAGAGGAUGACCAGCGAAACGGGAACGGAGACACGGUGCAGACGACUACGGGAGGCAGGAGUGGGGAAUAAUGCACAAUGGGCGCAAGGCUGAUGAAGCCAUGCCGCGUGUGUGAAGAAGGCGUUCGGGGUGUAAAGCACUGUCAGCGAGGAGGCGUUACUCGCAGAAGAAGCACCGGCUAACUACGUGCCAGCAGCCGCGGUAAUUC